GAAGAAACAGAAACAUCGUUGGAU
RNAcentral lists this small nuclear RNA (24 nucleotides) under Arabidopsis thaliana (thale cress). RNAcentral's name for it is "snRNA_04048". The record is from RNAcentral. Lineage: Eukaryota; Viridiplantae; Streptophyta; Magnoliopsida; Brassicales; Brassicaceae.